Molecule: ribosomal RNA, 460 nt
Filed under: uncultured bacterium
Lineage: Bacteria
Description: partial 16S ribosomal RNA
Rfam family: Bacterial small subunit ribosomal RNA
Source: RNAcentral
CCUACGGGUGGCAGCAGUGAGGAAUAUUGGUCAAUGGUCGCGAGCCUGAACCAGCCAAGUCGCGUGAGGGAUGACGGCCCUGAGGAUUGUAAACUUCUUUUGUCAGGGAAUAAAGUGAGGCACGUGUGCCUGUUUGUAUGUACUUUAUGAAUAAGGAUCGGCUAACUCCGUGCCAGCAGCCGCGGUAAUACGGAGGAUCCGAGCGUUAUCCGGAUUUAUUGGGUUUAAAGGGAGCGUAGGUGGGUUGUUAAGGCAGUUGUUAAAGUUUGGGGCUCAACCCUCAGAUUGCAAUUGAUACUGGCAGUCUCGAGUACAGUAGAGGUAGGCGGAAUGCGCGGUGUAGCGGUGAAAUGCAUAGAUAUCACGAAGAACUCCGAUUGCGAAGGCAGCUUACUAACCUCACACUGACACUGAUGCUCGAAAGCAUGGGUAUCAAACAGGAUUAGAUACCCGUGUAGUC